This is a long non-coding RNA of Mus musculus (house mouse), 291 nucleotides long. RefSeq annotates it as predicted gene, 38774. The record is from RefSeq and is a predicted model, not a curated record. The transcript has 3 exons. NCBI's taxonomy places the organism in Eukaryota, Metazoa, Chordata, Mammalia, Rodentia, Muridae.
AGCCUUACUGCAUCCUUGCAAGGAAUCAAUGAGAGAGCUUUGUUAAGAGGGAUGUACUAAGCUAACUGCAUCCAACUACCGUAACAUCAAGGAGCUGCUGAAGCAUGGAGGGUCUGUGCCCUGUCCAGUCAUCAUCAAAAAGGCUUUCUCCAGCAGCAGAUGUGAGUCGGUGCAGAGACCCACAGCCAGACAAUCUGCUGGGAGACAGUGUAACUUGGAUGUCACCAUUAGGUCUUUCCCAUCACAGCUUAGGGACACCAGGACUCCCCAAACUCCACCUAAUGUUGGACU